RNAcentral lists this ribosomal RNA (427 nucleotides) under uncultured prokaryote. RNAcentral describes it as "bacterial SSU rRNA". It matches the Rfam family "Bacterial small subunit ribosomal RNA", at positions 355 to 774 of the family's 1533-position model. The record is from RNAcentral.
UGGGGAAUUUUGGACAAUGGGGGCAACCCUGAUCCAGCCAUGCCGCGUGAGUGAAGAAGGCCUUCGGGUUGUAAAGCUCUUUCGGACAGAAAGAAAUCGCACGGGUGAAUAAUUCGUGUGGAUGACGGUACUGUAUGAAGAAGCACCGGCUAACUACGUGCCAGCAGCCGCGGUAAUACGUAGGGUGCGAGCGUUAAUCGGAAUUACUGGGCGUAAAGCGUGCGCAGGCGGUUGUGUAAGUCAGAUGUGAAAUCCCCGGGCUCAACCUGGGAACUGCAUUUGAGACUGCACGGCUAGAGUGUGGCAGAGGGGGGUAGAAUUCCACGUGUAGCAGUGAAAUGCGUAGAGAUGUGGAGGAAUACCGAUGGCGAAGGCAGCCCCCUGGGCCCUUACUGACGCUCAUGCACGAAAGCGUGGGGAGCAAACA